RNAcentral lists this transfer RNA (65 nucleotides) under Trichuris muris. RNAcentral describes it as "tRNA TMUE_M000000005". It matches the Rfam family "tRNA". From Rfam's summary of the family: Transfer RNA (tRNA) molecules are approximately 80 nucleotides in length. Their secondary structure includes four short double-helical elements and three loops (D, anti-codon, and T loops). Lineage: Eukaryota; Metazoa; Nematoda; Enoplea; Trichinellida; Trichuridae. The record is from RNAcentral.
AGCUAAAUAGCUUAAGUCUAAAAGCACAAACUUUUUAAGUUUGGGAUAUUUUUAAAUUUUAGCCA